Molecule: non-coding RNA, 30 nt
Filed under: Rattus norvegicus (Norway rat)
Lineage: Eukaryota; Metazoa; Chordata; Mammalia; Rodentia; Muridae
Source: RNAcentral
UAUGCACAGGUGUGACCUAGUACAUUGGUC